RNAcentral lists this ribosomal RNA (471 nucleotides) under uncultured bacterium. RNAcentral describes it as "bacterial SSU rRNA". It matches the Rfam family "Bacterial small subunit ribosomal RNA", at positions 330 to 793 of the family's 1533-position model. The record is from RNAcentral.
CGUAUCAUCCUACGGGAGGCAGCAUGGGGGAAUAUUGCACAAUGGGGGAAACCCUGAUGCAGCCAUGCCGCGUGUGUGAAGAAGGCCUUCGGGUUGUAAAGUACUUUCAGCAGUGAGGAAGGUUCAUGCGUUAAUAGCGUAUGGAUUUGACGUUAGCUGCAGAAGAAGCACCGGCUAACUCCGUGCCAGCAGCCGCGGUAAUACGGAGGGUGCGAGCGUUAAUCGGAAUUACUGGGCGUAAAGCGCAUGCAGGUGGUUUGUUAAGUCAGAUGUGAAAGCCCGGGGCUCAACCUCGGAAUUGCAUUUGAAACUGGCAGACUAGAGUACUGUAGAGGGGGUAGAAUUUCAGGUGUAGCGGUGAAAUGCGUAGAGAUCUGAAGGAAUACCAGUGGCGAAGGCGGCCCCCCUGGACAAAGACUGACGCUCAGAUGCGAAAGCGUGGGGAGCAAACAGGAUUAGAUACCCUGGUAG